RNAcentral lists this non-coding RNA (86 nucleotides) under Clostridium sp. DSM 8431. Lineage: Bacteria; Bacillati; Bacillota; Clostridia; Eubacteriales; Clostridiaceae. The record is from RNAcentral.
AAGAGCCGUGUGCGAGGCCCGCAUGCACGGUUCUGUGAGAGGAAAGACCUAAGAAAAAAAAUAUUUCUGAGGUUCACCUACUCGAU